RNAcentral lists this ribosomal RNA (481 nucleotides) under uncultured bacterium. RNAcentral describes it as "SSU rRNA". It matches the Rfam family "Bacterial small subunit ribosomal RNA", at positions 26 to 516 of the family's 1533-position model. The record is from RNAcentral.
AGGACGAACGCUGGCGGCGUGCUUAACACAUGCAAGUCGAGCGGUAAGGCCUCUUCGGGGGUACACGAGCGGCGAACGGGUGAGUAACACGUGGGUGACCUGCCCUCAGCUCUGGGAUAAGCCUGGGAAACUGGGUCUAAUACUGGAUAUGACUGCGCAUCGCAUGGUGUGUGGUGGAAAGUUUUUUCGGCUGGGGAUGGGCCCGCGGCCUAUCAGCUAGUUGGUGGGGUAACGGCCCACCAAGGCUACGACGGGUAGCUGGUCUAAGAGGACGACCAGCCACACUGGAACUGAGACACGGUCCAGACACCUACGGGUGGCAGCAGUCGAGAAUCUUUCACAAUGGGGGAAACCCUGAUGGAGCGACGCCGCGUGGAGGAUAAGGUCUUCGGAUUGUAAACUCCUGUCAUGCGAGAACAAAGCCCGCAAGGGUCUGAUAGUAUCGCAAGAGGAAGAGACGGCUAACUCUGUGCCAGCAGCC